UCUGUUGAUAUAGUGCUUAGGACUAGGGUG
This 30-nucleotide non-coding RNA is filed under the name Rattus norvegicus (Norway rat). The record is from RNAcentral. Lineage: Eukaryota; Metazoa; Chordata; Mammalia; Rodentia; Muridae.